Long non-coding RNA from Phymastichus coffea, 1726 nucleotides. RefSeq lists it as uncharacterized. Lineage: Eukaryota; Metazoa; Arthropoda; Insecta; Hymenoptera; Eulophidae. The record is from RefSeq and is a predicted model, not a curated record. The transcript has 3 exons.
CGCUCUUUCGUCAAAAGCCGACGACCACUGACCGGUACUCACAGAUCGUAUAGAUAGAAGAGCUACUGCUACGGGGACGAGGAGUGACAGAGACAGAACAAUGGGUUUAUGGUUGACCGCCACUACGUAGCCACGAUUUUUAUUGUUGUAGUAUGAGGUUUUGGAGUUUGGAGCAGCUACUUUGUGCACCUCAAGUGGGCCCGCCCUUUUUACCACUUGUUUCACACUUUUCUUUAAUAACUCGCACCCAAUUUUUAGCAGAAAAAAUUUGAUUUCAUUUUUAUUUCCUUAAACCUGUUCGUAAUCUGCCUGGUGUUACAAAACGGAAAUUCCACGUAAGAUCCAAACAAAUCAUUAUAAGGAGUUCGUAGUCUUGCGAAUAUAAAAGUCGUACAGUUUUGCCGAAGGGGAGAGAGUGAUAGAGAGAACGAAAAAGUAGUCCUCGUCUUGUGUACGCCAAGGCAGAUUCAUGGACGACAACCAAAGUUCGACAUGUCAUGCAAAAAUUAGUGUUGCUUCGUGGCACCAAAUGGACAUCGAAACAUCAGCGAAAAAAAAUAUUCGACACGUUAGACGCCAUUUGUCGGCUCUCACGCUUAAUGCAAUGUAUGUGUGUGCGAGUGGGAGGUUGCAACAUCUAUUAAAAGUACAGAGCGUCGCAUAAUCAACCGUGCAUACUUAUAUAUACUGUGCAUGCGUGCGUGCGUACGUCAUGAAAAGCCCGGAAAUACCGCGCCCAAGCAUUGCGUUCCGGUUUUCUGUGCUGCUGCUGCCUGCAGCCACUUCAUUUAUAGAGCGCUCGAGAGGGGAUUUACGCCGGAUGGCUGCGAGACCGUGCACACACCGUUCAUCUACACCUCCAAUUAAUGAAUGGCUUUUCAUCAGUUUUUUCACUCGUUUUCGCUUUGUUGCUUCGCUAGUACAUACGCACAUAACACCGAUCGGCGAUUUUUAUUUUUAUUUUUUCUCGCGAUAAACACUUGUUGAUCGAACUUAGAAGUUGAACGCGUUCAAUUUCUCAUCGACAGUAUCGAUUUUACGCUUUUAUUGUUUACAUAUAACUCAACCGUUUGUGCAAAGGUAUGAGAGCAUUGUGCUGGCACUUGCAUUAACAGUUUGCAUUUCGAAAGUUUAUUUAAUAGAAAUUUAUUUAAUUUUGACAAGCAUAACAUUUUUUAGAGUAAAUAUUCAAGAGAUUGCGUAAAUAAAUUACACAACUCUAAUGUACUAUUAUUAUUGCGAAGAAGACUUGCACUUUAGACAAAAUUUACUAAAAAGUAGCACCUUUUAGAGUAAAUAUUCACACAAGUAAUAUUUCAAUCAUGAAUACUUCGUGCUGAUGGCUAUUCACGUUAUCUAUUUAGAAAAUCAAUCAAUGCAGAAAUUCUUACCAACUUAUGAAAUAAGAAUACCAAAUCUGUUGAUUUCAGAAGCAAGAGAUAUUUUGUAAAUUUUAUCAAUUGAUAAUACUUUACAAAUUCCCUGAUGUUUGUCCUCUUCAAAGAUUCAUCAAUAUUGAUAAGAUAACCAAAAAAAAAAAAUAAAAAUUAACAUAUUGCCAAAAUAAUGCUUGUAAUACUUAUGAAAAUUGUAUAAAUGAAGUUAGACAAUUUGAGUAACAGUUACACAAAAUAGAAAACAUAAUUAUAAAAAAAAUCAUAUUUAUAAUAAUGAAAUUGUGAAAUAAUUUAUAUUUACAUAUACCAUAAAAAGUGUUUAAAUUAAU